RNAcentral lists this ribosomal RNA (369 nucleotides) under Triticum aestivum (bread wheat). Its description in RNAcentral is "partial small subunit ribosomal RNA". The record is from RNAcentral. Lineage: Eukaryota; Viridiplantae; Streptophyta; Magnoliopsida; Poales; Poaceae.
AUGUCGGCCUGGCACGCGCCGGCGAUGCGCAGGAGGCUGGAGGACGACGCGCGGGCGCCCGACCCGGCGGCGGCGUUCCCGCCGAGGGACAGCACGACGAGGUCGCCGGCGCCGGCGGCGAAGGGGAACUCGCGCUUGUUGUGGAGCACGUGGGUGACGGCCACGGCGGUCGGGUUCGCCACGCCGGCGCCGGUCCCGCCGGCGGCCGCGGCGGCGCGCAGCCUGGUGCGCCCGUCGAGGGACGCCACCUCGGCCGGCCCCACGCCGCACGCGGCCGCGCAGACCUGCCAGAGCGGGAAGUCGAACGCCUCGGCCUCCACGGCGUCGGCGCGGGAGAAGACGAACGGCGCGGCCGUGGCCAUGUCGUAG